AUAAUCUUGGCCUGCUUGUCCAAAAUGGAGAGUCUCUGCCGUUCGGUGUGCUUUCUGAGCUCAGUUUGCUCCACCUUCACUUGACAGACAGACAGAAGCUUCUCAGCACCCUGUACCAAAGAUGUGGAGAGACCAAUAGCACUGAUGCCUACCUGCCCUGCACACUGGCACUGUUCAGCGCACACCUGCAAUCUUUACAACUACAUCAGGAUACUGCCAUAAAGACUAAUUAAAUGGAGGACAAUGCCACUCCACGAAACAUCCCAAACAUCUGCUUCCAGCCAAACCCGAGGAGGAAUCAUAAAGAAAUCUACCACAUAACUUUAACUACUUCAUAACUUAAUUAUUUUUUAAACAAUUCCCA
This 364-nucleotide long non-coding RNA is filed under the name Sinocyclocheilus anshuiensis. RNAcentral describes it as "lncRNA (ENSSANG00000052028.1)". Lineage: Eukaryota; Metazoa; Chordata; Actinopteri; Cypriniformes; Cyprinidae. The record is from RNAcentral.